CAAAACAUGUAACGUGCCGUGACCCUUUUGGUUUUCUGAUUUAAUGCUGCCCAUGAAUGCUCUUCUUUAUGUUGAUAAAGGUGAUGUGUAACUGAAGUUGGGAAAGCUUAACAUUAGGAAUUUCUGAUAUAUAUCUCCUUUAUUGCCACCUUUGAAAUUCCUCUUAUUGCAAUUCAUAGCUGAACCAUUCUGUUGCUCUUUUAACAUUAUUUCACCAAUGCAUUAAAUUAUAAUUGUUGGCACACAGUGAGUAACCGGUACCCACCUCUGGCAAUACCAUUUUUUCUUUUCUUUAUUUUUUGACUUUGGUUCUAUAUCUAGGAUGUUGAUUUUUUAGAACCAUUAUUACGAUUUGCCUAAGCUGUAACCCUUUUAUUUCUGACUGGACGUGUUUAAGGCUAUCUAGGAAUAUUGUAUAAUUAGUAACUGAAACAAUAUUAAUUUUGUAGUGAUUGUUGAGAAAAUAUCCUAACAUUAACAUUAUUUUCUUUUGCAGUGAGUUCCUAACCAAGGUUGGAGAUUCGUUGUGAAGAUAGGCUUGACCUAAAACAUGUUACAUUUUACCAGAGCAACAGCUCCUGGCCAAUUAAGAUAAUGGUUCAACUUCUUUGGUGUUUAAUCAUGGUGCUUAGUGCGAUAGAAAGUCUUUUCUUGUAAACAAACUCAUCAAUUUGUUUAGAUAUGAUGUGAAAUGUUUAGAUUUGUUCCGUUAUAUAUAUAUAGAUGAGGUUUAAACCACUUACAUUGAACCAAUUGGCAAAUAAUAAUCUAUGUACAAUAUACAGGCCACUGAGGCAGAUAAUGUUUAUGAACGUCCAAGUACUAUUCCAUGUGAUCUAAUAUAAUUAACAGAAUUGACACUCAUAAUGUACUUUUUACAUAAACUCCAGCGUGGUCCCUUCCAGCACCGAUGUUGGCAAAUGGAUGCUAUUUUCUUGCAUUUAUCCAUGACCUCAAUCUAACAAUGAGUUCAUGACCUCAAUCUAAAAUCAUGUUCGCAGGAAUGUUGUUGUCACAAAGGGAUUUGACUUCUUGCCACUUCCUUAACGCGUACUAUAACCAUAUUCAUGCUCCUUUUUUAAUUUUUGUUGUUGUUGUAUUUUAAUUUAUUUGACAAGUGGCCGGAC
This 1127-nucleotide long non-coding RNA is filed under the name Lupinus angustifolius (narrow-leaved blue lupine). RNAcentral describes it as "long non-coding RNA (LANG_LNC000622)". The record is from RNAcentral. Lineage: Eukaryota; Viridiplantae; Streptophyta; Magnoliopsida; Fabales; Fabaceae.